Molecule: ribosomal RNA, 253 nt
Filed under: uncultured bacterium
Lineage: Bacteria
Description: partial 16S ribosomal RNA
Rfam family: Bacterial small subunit ribosomal RNA
Source: RNAcentral
UACAGAGACUGCAAGCGUUAUUCGGAUUCACUGGGCGUAAAGGGUGCGCAGGCGGCCAAGUGUGUGAGGCGUGAAAGCCCGAAGCUUAACUUCGGAAUUGCACCUCAAACUACAUGGCUAGAGCAUUGGAGAGGGUAGCGGAAUUCACGGUGUAGCAGUGAAAUGCGUAGAUAUCGUGAGGAACACCAGAGGCGAAGGCGGCUACCUGGACAAUUGCUGACGCUCAGGCACGAAAGCGUGGGGAGCGAACAGG